AAUACCGUAUGAACUACUUGUACAUAUACACUAGCAAUACUAUUGAUAUACUAACAAUGGUGUGUAUUUGUUGUAGAUUCUUGAUGGUUAGUCUGCAUUGGCAGCUGCACAAGAAAUGUGUAUGAUGAAUUUAUAAGACGUAAUCCUGAUUUUAUUUCAAAUAAUGGGACAGCAACAGCAUCAAUGUUUGCUCAUUUGCUUGGUAGCGUAAUAUACUAUGACCUGAUGUAUGAGACCUGUCUUGUCAAUGGACUACUAGAGAAAAGGAAAGAGAUUGUACACCGAUGGACAUUCAUUUAACAGAUCAUCCAUUUAAAAAUGAGUCUGAUGAAAAGUUUGAAGAGCUACAGAAAUUAAGAAUAAGAGUUUCUAAACUUGAAUCAGAGCUAGGGAUAAAGAAAGGGUUCAGUUCUAUAAAGUUUGAAGUGGAUCAGUUAUUUGCUGUUGGGUCUCCAUUGGGUAUACUCUUAAUGCUAAGGGAACACAGUCCACUAGUAUAAAGGAAAGUAAAGGAGCUGAUUCACUGCUGGCUUCUGCUAACAGAUUCAUAAUGUACAUCAUCUUUCAGAUCCUGUGGCCUAUUAUUUGGAGUUCAGUAUAUGCUCAAGUGAAGCUGGUAAAGAUGGACGCUGCUAGUAGCAAACCAAUGCAGAAAUCAAUCGGUCUAGCUGAAGGACCCAAGACACCAGAAGUGACACAGAGUACUAAGAGUAGUAGCAGCAGUUGGACACAAUCACUGAUAUCAGCUGUAGUUAAGUGUUGCUUCUAGUAAUGGCGCUGAAACUUGUAAAUCAUUUACCUCAUGAUAAAGUAGGCUUUUGAUGACACCGAAAUACUACCUGAAGAUCGAUUAAAUAAGAGAGUUGAUUUAUUGUUCUGUGAAGGACUGAAAGAGAACAGUUACUUAAACUAAAUCACAGCUGACACUGGGUAUUGGACCAACUCUGACUGUGCAAUGUAUCUAUUGCUUCAAUGGUAUACUUAGAAAAAGGACAGCAAACUGUGACUGAUGGUAUCUUGUUGAUUUAUAUAGUGGAUUUCUGUUUCUUUGUCAUU
This is a long non-coding RNA of Amphimedon queenslandica, 1056 nucleotides long. RefSeq lists it as uncharacterized. The record is from RefSeq and is a predicted model, not a curated record. NCBI's taxonomy places the organism in Eukaryota, Metazoa, Porifera, Demospongiae, Haplosclerida, Niphatidae. The transcript has 5 exons.